UUAUGAAAAACUUAUCUAAAUUUUAUAAAAAUUAUAUUAUUUAUUACAUAAUAAAGUAUUUGUAGGUCUAAAAUACAUAGAAUUAUAUUCAAAACGGAAUAUGCUUGUAAUCAUCAACACCAAUAUAAUUAUGACACAUUGCAUUCCAAUUCCAAUCAAUUUCAACUCAUUCAUUCAUAUCUCUUGUACAAACACCCACAACCCAUUGUACUCAUACUUCCAUGCUCCACUCCUCUGAACUUGCUUCCUUGUCUUACAUCUUCACCACCUCUUUUGCAAUUGCACCACUUCCUUCCUUGUCUCUUGCUUCUUUGAUCUUUACUUCUUACACCCAUGAAAAUUUGAUGAUCCAAUGCCCAUUGUACACCACCAUCACCGUCCUCCUCUUUAUACUCACAUUACAUUGCUACCCAAUAGGAUUCCUCAAUCUCACCAUCCAUUACACACUCUACCACCACAGUUCUUGUCCACUUUCAUUACACCAUGCCACACCACCAUCAAACCAAAGCGCCCCCUCUGCACUAACUAACCAAGCAACCAAGCCAGCCUUGAUGGAACCCAGUGUAGUAUUCUGCACUCCUUCCUUCCUUCUUCAUGCUUUAGCCUCCUCAGCAACACCUUCCCUUCCCUCCCUAGUCUGCUUCCUUCCUUCUUUCCAUCACCAUACCAAACAUCAUCAACAACUUCGUGCCAUCUCCCACACUCAUCUCUCACACUCAUGCAUUCAUUCAUUCCAACCAACAAUCAAAGCUUCAAAGGGAAGGGAGGGGGGCUGAGCUUACUCUUCACCUCCUCAUCACACAAUCCCCCAACGCAACCAAACUCUCCUCUGCUCUGACACCACAAAUACAACGCAUCUUCAUCAUCAGCAGCAGCACCACCCCACCUCACUCACUCACUCACAUCUCCAUACGCACACGCAACCAUGCUCUCGCACACACUUGUAAGCACACGCUCAUUCACUCGAAGUCAGUCACACACACACACACACACACACACACACUUACACAACACACGCACACUCACUCACUCACUCACUCACACUUACACACUCACACACAAGUCGCAGCUCACGCACACCACCGAGCUCCGCCGGCACUCGUGAACACUGGACACUAGAUCGAGAAACAACACCUCAACACUCAACAUGUGGCAUGCUGCUGCCACACUAGCGCCGCGCUCCCACAUCGCCACUUACUCACCUGGAUGCGGCCCGGAACCAAGCCAGUGCAAGCAAGCAAUAUAGUUGCUGCUGCUGCUGCUGCUGCUCAUGGUGGUCGGGGACGAAUGCCGGACGGACUCAUUCUCAAUGGUGGUCUUGGGACCCGUCCACCGAUUCAGACGGUGGAUUGCAGUGGGGCACACAUGCAAUGCAAGGGGCCAAGUGGAGCAGGACGAGGACGAGGAGGAGGCUUUUCGGGCAAUU
This 1426-nucleotide long non-coding RNA is filed under the name Physcomitrium patens. Its description in RNAcentral is "long non-coding RNA (PPAT_LNC009758)". The record is from RNAcentral. Lineage: Eukaryota; Viridiplantae; Streptophyta; Bryopsida; Funariales; Funariaceae.